UUGGGAAUAUUGCGCAAUGGGCGAAAGCCUGACGCAGCGAUGCCGCGUGUGUGAAGAAGGCCUUAGGGUUGUAAAGCACUUUCAGUCGCGAAGAAAAGCCAGUGGUUAAUAACCUCUGGUCUUGACGUUAUCGACAGAAGAAGUACCGGCUAACUCCGUGCCAGCAGCCGCGGUAAUACGGAGGGUACGAACGUUAAUCGGAAUUACUGGGCGUAAAGCGCGCGUAGGCGGUUUUGUAAGUGGGAUGUGAAAGCCCCGGGCUCAACCUGGGAACUGCAUUCCAAACUGCAAAACUAGAGUAUGGUAGAGGGAGGUAGAAUUUCCUGUGUAGCGGUGAAAUGCGUAGAUAU
This 350-nucleotide ribosomal RNA is filed under the name uncultured bacterium. RNAcentral describes it as "bacterial SSU rRNA". It matches the Rfam family "Bacterial small subunit ribosomal RNA", at positions 355 to 697 of the family's 1533-position model. The record is from RNAcentral.